UGGGGAAUAUUGGACAAUGGGCGAAAGCCUGAUCCAGCCAUGCCGCGUGUGUGAAGAAGGUCUUCGGAUUGUAAAGCACUUUAAGUUGGGAGGAAGGGCAGUAAGCGAAUACCUUGCUGUUUUGACGUUACCGACAGAAUAAGCACCGGCUAACUCUGUGCCAGCAGCCGCGGUAAUACAGAGGGUGCACGCGUUAAUCGGAAUUACUGUGCGUAAAGCGCGCGUAGGUGGUUCGUUAAGUUGAAUGUGAAAGCCCCGGGCUCAACCUGGGAACUGCAUCCAAAACUGGCGAGCUAGAGUAGGGCAGAGGGUGGUGGAAUUUCCUGUGUAGCGGUGAAAUGCGUAGAGAUCUGGAGGAAUACCGAUGGCGAAGGCAGCCAUCUGGCCUAACACUGACGCUGAGGUACGAAAGCAUGGGGAGCAAACAGG
Molecule: ribosomal RNA, 429 nt
Filed under: Pseudomonadota bacterium
Lineage: Bacteria; Pseudomonadati; Pseudomonadota
Description: Proteobacteria bacterium partial 16S ribosomal RNA
Rfam family: Bacterial small subunit ribosomal RNA
Source: RNAcentral